Molecule: long non-coding RNA, 1156 nt
Organism: Phyllostomus discolor (pale spear-nosed bat)
Lineage: Eukaryota; Metazoa; Chordata; Mammalia; Chiroptera; Phyllostomidae
Exons: 2
Source: RefSeq, a predicted model, not a curated record
CGCCCCUGCGGUCACGUGACCCUCCCGAGGGGUGGGGCCCGCCCAAGUCCCGCCAAUCGCCGCCCGCCUCGGCCCCGCCUCGGCCCGCCCCUGCCUGCGCCGGCGCGGUGGGCUCCGCGCGUCUCUGCGCGAGGAGGUCCGGGCGUUGUCCCGGGUCCCGACCUCGGACCGCUCGCGGGACGGCCCUGCGGAGCAGUCGGAGCCGCUUCCGCCCGCCGCGGACCCCGGCGGGAGGGCGUGUCGCGUCCGCAGUGCGCGGCUCCUCGUGUCUGUGCGCAGCCUGGUUCCGCCGGCUCCCCGCCGUGGGCAGAGCCUUGACGUUCGGGCUUCUUGCAUUUUGACCCUUAGGGGUCGGGAGGCGCUCGGGCACCACGUGGGCCCCAGGCGCUGGACACCCCUGCCCUGCAACUCGGGGCGACAAGACCUCAGCCCUGCGGCCGGCUUUUCUUGCCAGUCCGCCAGAUCCUCCCAUAGCCAUCCUUGUGGACGUGGCGCAAGGGACCCACCGGCGUCCGUCACACCUACCGCAGGUGUCGGGGAAGCCUGCGCUCCGGUUUCCUGACUCCUCGUUCUCCCGCCACCCCGCGCCACUUUGAGCACGUGCUUUCCCCUCCUUGCCCGCGACCCUGGUGCUUGCCUGCCACCUCCCUCCCCGGCCCUCUUGGCAGCUGAAAAUGUACAAAGCAUAGUCGGACGGCUCUGGUUUUGUUUGAGGACAUCUAAAUUCAUAAAGGACACAACAGAAAACCGAGUUUCCAGACUGAGAACGGUGACAAGUGUGAGCACCGUGUCCCUCGACUUUGAAACGCCAGCCAGUCCACAUAGGGACUCUGACGGCCCAUAUCACCAUCCAGCAUGUAAUGAAAAAGGUCACCAACAAGAGCCCAAAUGGAACUAAAGCGCCAGGAAGGAAUGUUGUCUUCCACGUGAAAUCGGUGAGCAGGGCAGAGGGCAGAGUCGAAGGGUCACUAUAGUUGACAACUGGCAGAGCUGGGAGGGAACUGGCGAUUUUCCCCUCCUGCCCUGACACCUGAAACAGCAGCUUACCAAACAGUAUCCCUGGCGCGCAGCUCCCGGGAGAAUGUGUUACUGCCCACUAGGUGGCAAUGCUGUCUGACCUAACUAACGCAGAACUUGAACUUGAAGAUUCAUCUAA